GAUGAACGCUGGCGGCGUGCCUAAUACAUGCAAGUCGAGCGAACAGACGAGGAGCUUGCUCCUUUGACGUUAGCGGCGGACGGGUGAGUAACACGUAGGUAACCUACCUAUAAGACUGGGAUAACUUCGGGAAACCGGAGCUAAUACCGGAUAAUAUUUCGAACCGCAUGGUUCGAUAGUGAAAGAUGGCUUUGCUAUCACUUAUAGAUGGACCUGCGCCGUAUUAGCUAGUUGGUAAGGUAACGGCUUACCAAGGCAACGAUACAUAGCCGACCUGAGAGGGUGAUCGGCCACACUGGAACUGAGACACGGUCCAGACUACUACGGGAGGCAGCAGUAGGGAAUCUUCCGCAAUGGGCGAAAGCCUGACGGAGCAACGCCGCGUGAGUGAUGAAGGUCUUCGGAUCGUAAAACUCUGUUAUUAGGGAAGAACAAACGUGUAAGUAACUGUGCACGUCUUGACGGUACCUAAUCAGAAAGCCACGGCUAACUACGUG
This 497-nucleotide ribosomal RNA is filed under the name uncultured bacterium. Its description in RNAcentral is "partial 16S ribosomal RNA". It matches the Rfam family "Bacterial small subunit ribosomal RNA", at positions 28 to 507 of the family's 1533-position model. The record is from RNAcentral.